AUUGAACGCUGGCGGAAUGCUUUACACAUGCAAGUCGAGCGGCAGCGCGGCCUUCGGGCUGGCGGCGAGCGGCGAACGGGUGAGUAAUGCAUCGGAACAUGCCCAGUCGUGGGGGAUAACACUUCGAAGGAAGUGCUAAUACCGCAUACGUCCUGAGGGGGAAAGCGGGGGAUCGAAAGACCUCGCGCGAUUGGAGGGGCCUAUGUCAGAUUAGCUAGUUGGUGGGGUAAAGGCCUACCAAGGCGACGAUCGGUAGCUGGUCUGAGAGGAUGAUCAGCCACACUGGGACUGAGACACGGCCCAGACUCCUACGGGAGGCAGCAGUGGGGAAUUUUGGACAAUGGGGGCAACCCUGAUCCAGCCAUUCCGCGUGAGUGAAGAAGGCCUUCGGGUUGUAAAGCUCUUUCGGCAGGAACGAAACGGUGGGCUCUAACAUAGUCCGCUAAUGACGGUACCUGAAGAAGAAGCACCGGCUAACUACGUG
This 484-nucleotide ribosomal RNA is filed under the name uncultured bacterium. RNAcentral describes it as "partial 16S ribosomal RNA". It matches the Rfam family "Bacterial small subunit ribosomal RNA", at positions 29 to 507 of the family's 1533-position model. The record is from RNAcentral.